UUGUGACCUUUCAAGGAAUCUGCAAUCAUUAUUAGAUCCGGGAUGGUCUAAAUAAAUAUGGAUAAAGUUUUUAUUUGCCAUUUUGCAUAUCGAAUAGAAUUUAAAAUGUUGGUUUGUUUAGUACUUGUCACAAUAAGGCGAAAAUAAUUAUUUAUGGUUAUUUCACUGAAAGUAGCAUUAAACGUCAUGUGUGCGGAUCAAAGAAUUGGAAGUUGCAACAUUCUGUACCAGCUGAAUUGGAAUAUUAUGCAUAACAAUAAUCAAUAGUGGUACUCAUUUAACGUUGCAAUGAAAUAAGUAUAGUAAAUUUGCAAUAUGGCCACAAAUGUUAAAUGAGCGCUCUUUGGCAAUAUUGUGGUAAUAUCAGCUUAUUGUGAAUUAAUUGUAAGCAUCCCAGCAUGUCUUGGGUACUGAAACUCCAUCACAUUCAAAGAAAUUUUAAUAACACCAUUACAUACACACAUAUGCAACAAAGGGCAAAAUGGGCAUACACAUUUACCUCAACUCUUCUCUCGUACAGCACUCUGAAUGAUAGAAAGAAACAACCAAAGUUCUCGUAUUUGAUCAAGUUUUGUUUUGAGCUAUAUCAUGGCUGCUUGUGAAUUAUUAUUUUGCGUGGUUUAUUUAAAUCAGUGAUCUGCAGCCUAAUUAAAGUUUAAAUUAUUGAAGCACCCAUUUUUAAAUAAGUAAAACGUAAAAUAAAAGUUUUCUAAAGCCAAAAUAUGGAAUUGAAGAAGGUAAUACAGUAAUACUUCAUUGCACUGUCAAUUCGAAGCACGCAAUAGAAGCUACGCCUACAAUGGUCAACAUCAAUGGCGAAACCAUUGAAUAUAUAUUUCAAACUUCAUAUUAUUGUAACAGCGUAGAACUUUCGAAGCGAUGGAAUAUGUACUGCAAGCAAAUCCAGAACUAUGGAUGCAAACGCUGCUACAUGGAAUACAAAUCAUUUACACAACAGAUAUUAGGUUUAAUGUCACUUUUUUACGUACAAUUAAACCUUUUGGUCAACACAAGCACGAGAAUUGGAAGGAAGCAAGGCACGAGGAAUUGAGGUGAUUUUGUAACCGUUUGUCAUCGCGACGUGUGUCAACUGGGUUUUGUCAAUGAGCUAGAGGGAAAAGCAAAUGCAGUAUUUUUGGACGUACCGGCACCUCAGUUGGCCGUGCCAUUAGCAGCUAAAACACAGAAAUUUAAGGGAAGUCUUUUUUGAUUAAUUGUCACCUUGUAUUGAGAAUCGUAACGUUGUUGUAUCGCUUUACAAGGACAUGGAUUCACCGAAAUUAGUUCAAUGGAAAUACUACGGCAAGAGCAUGGAUGUUAUGCCUAGAACGUUGCCCGUGCUAUAUUUAGAAUUACUGCAACAUAGGAAACCCUCCUCCCAGAAAUUGGAUGAAGUGAAAUUAAUGAAAGAACAGAUCUUACAAAAACUCCUAAAGAAACCAAAAUAGUUCUCACAUAAUGUGCGCAGCUUACACUUCCAGGCUGCUCGGGGUAUUUGCCACUCUUCCUCCAGCCUUUGUCAGAUAGCAAAAAUUGUUCAACUAUUCAAUACGUUUUACAUAUGUAUAUGGUGUAGUACGAUAAUACAUGUAUAAAUUAAAUAUAAUAAUAAACACCUGAA
Long non-coding RNA from Zeugodacus cucurbitae (melon fly), 1621 nucleotides. RefSeq lists it as uncharacterized. NCBI's taxonomy places the organism in Eukaryota, Metazoa, Arthropoda, Insecta, Diptera, Tephritidae. The transcript is spliced from 4 exons. The record is from RefSeq and is a predicted model, not a curated record.